RNAcentral lists this long non-coding RNA (2418 nucleotides) under Chinchilla lanigera (long-tailed chinchilla). Its description in RNAcentral is "lncRNA (ENSCLAG00000024920.1)". Lineage: Eukaryota; Metazoa; Chordata; Mammalia; Rodentia; Chinchillidae. The record is from RNAcentral.
CUUGCGCAUUUCCUGUUCCGGACGUCUCAUAGAUACGGAUUCAUGCUGUGGGUGGCUCAGUGCUGGGGCACAUGUUUAGCAUCCAUGAGCCCCUGGGUUCCCUCUCAAGUACUUAGAAGAAAGAAAAAAAGGGAGAGGCUGAGGCAGGAGGGUCACUCAUGUAUUGGAUUAGCAAACCCUGUCUCAAAAAAUAAACAUGGGCUGGGGAUACAGCUCAGUGAGAGGGGACGGGGUUCCAUCAACAGCACUCAGAAAAAAGGAUCAUGGCGCGCGUGGUCUUUUGCUUGUAGAUGUCACACCACAGGCGGGCGCCCAGGCCACCCCGACCCGAUGACACCCACCUGGCUGGACCCUCUAUACCAAAUCCCCGUCCUGUGGGAAUCCCGGGGCUCCACCCCUCCGAGCAGCUGGGUGUGUCUCCUUGCGUCCCCAGUUCCAGUCGCGUGUUGGGGCGCCCUGCCCUGUACCCCGGAGGAGGAAGAACAGAGGGCGGUGGGGAGCGGCGGGGCGGUGUCCGGCGCUCUUCUGCGGCGGAGGGCGAGGGCGGUGACCCGGCCACUCCGUCCUGCCCCCCGUCCCGUUUGUCCGCAGCGGGCGUGGGCGCGGGGGGCUCCGCCCCGUGGCUGCGCGCGCACCUGCUCCCGGCCCCCGCGACCCCAACGCGCGGUGAAAUUAAGGCCCCGAGCUGCUCAACGGCAGGAUUUCAACCUUCCCUCUGCUUCGUCCUCCUCUGCACAAAGCCCUCCGGAAGCUCCGCCCUCAGAGCUGCAGGGACGGCCUCCGCAGCAGCGGCCCCAGCCUCUAGCAAACCCGGCGGCCGGCAGAGGCGUGUGCAGACGCGGGUCGAGCCCGCCGGUGAGGCUUUCCGACGGCUGCGGCUGCCCCCUCGGGCACCGGGCCCCAGGCUUGCCGCUCUGCGGGCUCGAGCCGGGGCGCGGCACGUUUGAGCCUGUCAGUCCGCACUGGCACCCGGGCCGCAGGAAUUCGUCUAAAUUCCACCCUGAGCACCUACACUGGACGCGGGCAAGGACGUGGCCGAGCCGCCCUGGGCGGCAGCGACAGAGGCCCUGAGCCCGCAGCGAGGCUCCCACGCAGCCGCCUGGUGCCCGCUCCCGGGGCAGCUCUGUGGGGCCCAGUCUGAGUCCUCUGGGCUCCCCUGGCCUGCGGUUAGUGACUGACAAGCAGCUCUCUUGGCCCCAGGGUAGUUACUCUGAAGCUGCUGCAGCACAAAGACCAAAGGGGAAAUAAAUGUUUCGUGGUCUGGACCAGCGAGGGAGGGAAGGAAAUAAAUAGCGGCAUCCUCAAUUUAAGUGCAGGCUUCCCACCCACGGCCGGCGAGUCCUGCCCUCGGCUUCUGGCUCUCUUCACCCCGCUGGGGUGAAACUGCAGCCCCCAGGCUCCAGCCUGAGCUGCGGGAGGCCGGGCCUGCGCUGCCACGGUCCCAGAGAGGGUCUGCCAGCCUCCUGAGCAGAGCUGGGAGCUCUCCGAGGGAGUCAGGGCCUUCUCUGUGGGUGAGGAACAGGCAGCCCUGGGGUGUCCAGGCAGGAGGGCGCCCAGCCCCUCUACUGAAGCCCAAAGCUGGUUAUUAGCCCACUGCCCUGGGGACCAACGACCGGCAUAGCCCCUUCACACACCGCACAGACGUUUCCUAGGAGGAAAUCACAGGGACAAAAAUGACCACUUUCAGUUUUCUUUAAAAAAGUUCCUUCAUCUCAAGAUGCAAGGUAUCACCGCUGCCCGGAGGAGGAGACCUUUCAGCUGGACCUGGUCCCUAGUGGGACCCCCUGGUCCCUAGUGGGACCUCUGGAGGUGGCGAUGGGUGGCAUGCAGGCUUGGGGUGGAGAGCUGAGGAACCAGGCGCUUGCAGGGGCAUCUCAGGUCACCCCUGGGCUAACGGGGCUAACAGGGCUGCUGGAGCAGCCCACAGCCUGGGUUCUGACGUCCAGCAUCCAGUCCCCGGCUCGGAGACAAGCCGUAUUUGCUGCCCACCAUCUGUGACCACUGCCUGGAGCACGGGAGCGCAGGCCCCUCCCUCCCUGCCAAAACCUGGCUGGGGACUCCAGCUUCUUGAGGGUGAGCGUGGAGCGCAGGGUGAGUCCCCAGAGAGGAUUCAGCUGUGGCUGCGGGUUUACGCCCCCUCUCCUCCCUAUCAGAGGAGAAGCAGCCCCAAGGGGGUGUGGACCUUGGCCUCUCACGAAAGAAAAGGGCCUGGACCUGGGUCACAGCAAGGGGCAGUGGCCUCAAACCUGGGGAGCAGGUGGGGGCAGGCCGGGCACUCCUGGGCUGGGAACUCCAGGCCUUGGCAGGUGUGGAAGCCUCAUGCAGGGGAUCACCCUGCCCCCUGCACCAGCCCUGUGGAGGGCAGUGCUGUCCUCCUUGCAGCCCUCUCCCCUAGCCCAGGGAGGACAGUGCUGGGAA